This 119-nucleotide small RNA is filed under the name Klebsiella pneumoniae. Its description in RNAcentral is "RtT sRNA". It matches the Rfam family "RtT RNA". From Rfam's summary of the family: This family represents a bacterial cis-regulatory element known as RtT RNA. The exact function of RtT is unknown although it is thought that it may be involved in changing the cellular response in relation to amino acid starvation. RNAcentral also lists the same sequence under 2 other names. Lineage: Bacteria; Pseudomonadati; Pseudomonadota; Gammaproteobacteria; Enterobacterales; Enterobacteriaceae. The record is from RNAcentral.
GGGGAAGGAUGAGAAGCUUCGACUAAGGUUCGACUCGAGCGAAGCGAGAGAACGUUGCCGCAGGCAACGGCCCGAAGGGCGAGGCGCUUUAGCGCCGAGUAAUCCUUCCCCCACCACCA